CCCUUGUGGAGGAGGACGCCGAAGGUGGGGCUAAUGACUGGGGUGAAGUCGUAACAAGGUAGCCGUACCGGAAGGUGCGGCUGGAUCACCUCCUAACAGGGAGACAACAAAAUGUUUAAUAUUAUUAUUUUGUCACCUUAGGUCGAUCGGUAUCUCACGUUCUUAAUUUAUUAAGAAUUUCAUUUCCUAAGUUUUUCUAGGUCACACCCAUUAUUUUCCUGGGCCAUUAGCUCAGGUGGUUAGAGCGCACCCCUGAUAAGGGUGAGGUCCCUGGUUCAAGUCCAGGAUGGCCCAUAUCUCUAUGUUGGGGGUAUAGCUCAGUUGGUAGAGCGCCUGCUUUGCAAGCAGGAUGUCAGCGGUUCGAGUCCGCUUACCUCCACUGAUCACCACCUCUUCCAUAAUCGAUAGAAAGGAAAUGUUUUGAGUUGUGAUCUAAUUCUGAACGAAUCUAGCUUCCUAAUCAAAUUAUUAAGAUGCUGGACUCAUUGAAUUAAUUUCAUUGUUUUCAGAGAACCUUGACAACUGCAUAGAUUAUUUUUUAAAGACAAUAAGCAUCUUUUAAUGAUGCAGAUUUAUUAUUUGUGCGAAUGCAUUAAUAACAAUUCUAUUAAGCUGAUGCUUCAAUUUUGAAGUUAUUGGUCAAGCUACAAAGGGCUCACGGAGGAUACCUAGGCA
This 675-nucleotide unclassified non-coding RNA is filed under the name uncultured Prochlorococcus sp. RNAcentral's name for it is "partial may contain 16S ribosomal RNA, 16S-23S ribosomal RNA intergenic spacer, and 23S ribosomal RNA". The stretch from base 1 to 96 matches the Rfam family "Bacterial small subunit ribosomal RNA", at positions 1438 to 1533 of the family's 1533-position model. The record is from RNAcentral. Lineage: Bacteria; Bacillati; Cyanobacteriota; Cyanophyceae; Synechococcales; Prochlorococcaceae.